Molecule: unclassified non-coding RNA, 244 nt
Filed under: Hevea brasiliensis (rubber tree)
Lineage: Eukaryota; Viridiplantae; Streptophyta; Magnoliopsida; Malpighiales; Euphorbiaceae
Source: RNAcentral
UGGCUGCAGUUCUUUCCAUUCCCACUUUGGCUUCUCCUGGAAUAGUUUGGAAAACCGUUCAGCAGGCACUGAUGACAGUGAAGAAACACUAAAAGCAUAAAUCCGAGUCUCUAUCCCGAUCUUUUCGGUCAAGACUUCUCCUUCUAGCACAUCAAAACUUGCAUUCAUCCCUUCUGGAACUUUCUUUCUCCACUCCUCCAUAAAUCUUUCAAGUUUCAUUUUUUCCCCUCUUAAGAUUACUCUA